This 15079-nucleotide long non-coding RNA is filed under the name Triticum aestivum (bread wheat). RNAcentral's name for it is "long non-coding RNA (TAES_LNC017164)". The record is from RNAcentral. Lineage: Eukaryota; Viridiplantae; Streptophyta; Magnoliopsida; Poales; Poaceae.
CUUACUGAAUUACCUGAUGUGUAUGUGCAUGAACUACGUGGUGUGUACAUGUCCUUGGAUUUUCUAAUCGCUGCGGUCUCAUCUGGCAGAUGGACAAGAACGAGAUGGUGCCGGUCCAGGGGGUGCCGCGCAUGCGGGGGAGCAUCGCGUCGUCAAGUGCGGUUGGUAAGUAUACUUUAUGCUGCUUUUUUUUGUCAACAUCGUCUCCAUGCAGGCUACACUGGGAAAGAAGCUGCUUAACUCUUGUGCAUGCUGGUUUUUUUUCAUCACUAGUAUACUGGUAUUGGACUGGAGCUUGAUAGCUCUGUCCAUGCUGGGCCUUUUUGUCAUCAUUAGUAUUGUUAUAUAUUAGCUGAAGCUGCACAUGUUUUCUUUCCAUUGACGUUGGUGCGGGCGGUGCUACGCGUCAGUCGGCCGAUGGAUGGACGCCUUACUCACCUGAUUUUAAUCAAGUCCCACCUAGGUGUAAUUUGUUUUGUCACUAGCUGUGUAUACAUAGGCGAGCUCCAGCACUGCAUUGCAGCGUGGAAAACAUAUGAACUGUAAUAAGAAACAUGCAGUGGCUAGAAACAUCUCCACAUAUUUUUUCAACACGUUUUAGGUGUCAACGAAAUUAGUCGGAUCGCCAGCCAUCGAAUUGACACAUGGAGCAUUGGAUCACAAUACAUGGCAGCAGGGAGAAUGGAAACCGUGUUCCUCCAUAGCCUCCACAAUACAUAUGUAUCCACCACCCCUCCCACAUCGUCGCAACAGACAAUUACGUCGGCCCCUUCCAACACCUCGCUUUGGUACCCUAGAGAUCCCUGAUGUCGCAUGGAUAUCCUGCAAGUAUUAUUACAGUGCGCCAAUGAGGCGUCAUCCUUGCAACAUUGUCUUACAGACAAUGUAGUUGAUGCCACCACCACCAUCACCCAUUUACACAUGGGCCGUCGCAUGUGGCACUGUUCGUGGGAUAAAACACACCCCGCGAGAAUACGCGGUUGCACCACUGCGAUCUAUGCAACUUAGGAAUUGUUGUGACUGCCCCUGCAAAACUAGCGAUGAUACGGCCAUCGCCCUGCAACAUUGGCCAUAGUUGUAGCACAUCUGAGAAGACGGAUGCCGCACCUAACAACACAGUAUGUGUUUUUUGCACCAUAAGGAAGCACUGCCUUGCAACAUCGGCUAUCAGGGUGCUGCACUGACAAACACACUCACGACCUUGAGAUGUCGUAUGCCUUGGCCGAUGUAGCAUAGUGCUCCUCUUUCAGCAUAUAGCGAUGGCUUGUAGCAUUGAUGGUCGGAGAGUCGCAGCAUCGUUGAGUGGCAGUGCUAGCCCAUCUCAUUGUCAUAGAGAAGGGGGAAUAAAGGAUGGGUGUGCACGUGGUGGAAAUAAAGCGAAUGGAUAUGGUGAAGAGAGAGGAAGACUAACAAGGGGCAUCUGGCGCUAGAGCGAGCUGACUGAUUUCCCCCUGAAACCAGCCUGUUGAAUAUAAUUCAAUUUUCUUUUGAGAGACCUCAUAAAAACGUCGCAACAUGCGAGCAUGUCUAUACAAAAAAUUGUAGAUAUACAACACACACUCAUUAGCUGCAACAAAUCAGUGAAAAACACAAUGUAUAUAGGCCUGAACCGAUGGAUCAUCAGCAUGCAUCUGCCAGCUCUUCCUAGGUUACGCCCAACCGUGAGUCGUUCAAUUGGGUCACACAUCACUACCCAAUCAACCACCAACUUAGUUGUUCCUCUCGUCUCCUCUACCCACCCUUGGCAACAUACACCCAUGAUUCUCAGCAAUAGACCAACAUGGAGGCGACAAUGGUGGCCAUGAUAGGCUAGUGAAAAGCACACUGGUUGGUCAACCUUACAACACUAAACAGAAACAUUGCAACAUGAGGUAACCCCAACUUUGUAGCACUGGUGCACCAUUUUCAACCACCUUGUAGCAAUGAAAAGUUCACUGACCAAUAGAAUUGCUGCACCAAGUUACUGGCUUCCAGCACUGAACACCCGGGCUUGUAGCACCACGAUGAUCGAUGGUCGGCCUUUCAACAGUAUUAGUUAACAUUGCACACCUCGUCUCCAUUUUUAUGUACAUACACAUGAGUGACCUUGGAACAUCAGUAACGUGUCAACAUUAUCAAACUUGAAGACGAUAAAUUUGUUUCUCCAAGCAUCGACAUUACUGAAUAAGCGUGCAACUGCACAUCCACCACAUGAGCCAUAAUUUUUUAGCCCUGCGACAACAGCUUAUAGUUGCAAAAGAGCUGACGAUGAUGGUUUAGAAUGUAUAUGAUCAAAAUAGAUUAAAUGGAGGGGAGGGUGGACUACCUAUGUUGAAUCAGACUAGCCACAAGGUCACAAGUGCCUUGUCUAAAUAGCCAAAAAGACAAAAGGAGGCCUCCUGGAUUCUCCAUCCUGAAGCUAAGCAUAACUCCAACUCCAGACACGCUAGGGGGCUACUAAAGGUGCAAUACGGUAGGGGUGUCUUCUGGGUGGGAAGCCUGGUAGCAGGCCUGCCUUAGGACCCAAGAGGCCAAGUGGAGGAUCGGUGCAGUAGGGCAGCUCAGGAGCCCAGAUAAGGACUAUGAGAGCAUCUUGGCAGGCAAGCUAAGAUGGCAGUGGUAUGAGAUCUGAUGGAUUCCUUGUAAACCUAGCCCUUGCCACCUAUAUAAGGAGGGGCUCGGGGUUGUCAUUCACAUAUACUCUCAUAGACUAUACUCUCUGUAGCAUUAUACUUCAUCUCCACUCUAAACCCCUCGCACAAGGUGCUCCACCAUGAAUAAAAAUCAGAUACAGGAAGUUGGGCAUUACCUCUCACCGAGGGCCGGAACCAAGGUAAAAACCUUUGUGUGAACUCCCUUGUCAUGGAUCCCUACAAGUUCACCACCCUACUAUGGUACUCACGGUUUUACAUACUAUCACAUAGUUAAGUUCUGACACAUUUUCUCUGGGGAGUUGAAACAACUCAUGGUGUAAGUAGGUGUUGCUUGAAGCACUGAUUCUACUAGCACCUCCUUUCCCGCCUUCGAGAUACCUUGUCCUUCCUAUCCAACCACUUUGCCAUUUGAGCUUUCUUUAAGAUGUUUAAAAUUUCCCUCCUUUGACCUACCCACCACGGUUGGGAGCCCCAAAUAAUGCUCGCUCAAUGCCUUAGGAUCUGUGCAAAGAUAUUUACAACAACUUACUCCUCCUAUUUGCCUCACUUCCCAAAGAAUGUUGAGGCUUUUUGAAAAUUUCCCAUUUGUCCCGAGGCCCACUCGUAGUCAAUGAGGAUAUAUUUAAGGUUACAAAGUUGCCAUUUGACGGUUGAAGAAAUACUAUACUAUCAUCUGCAGAAAUAAGAUGGACUACAUGGGGGUUAGUGCUCCCAAAAGAUAUACCAUUGAUCUCUUUAUCUUUGAGCACUCAUGAGAAAGGCCAAAAAACUCGCAACAUAGAAAAUAAAAAAAAAAUAGGGAGACCAUGGGUCUCCUUGCCAAAGCCCUCUUCAUAGUAUAAAAAAAUACAAAACACACUCCUUUCAAUUUGAUAGAAAACCUGGCCGGGGUACCACACAUCAUAAUCAUCAAGAUCAACCUAUCUGAGAAACCAAGUGCCCUCAUCAUCAGAUCGAGGAAAAUCCAAACCACCCUCUUAUAGGCCUUCAUCCUGUAUAGUUUAAUUGCAAACAUUGGAUUUUUCUAUUUCUUGAAUGUACUUUGCUCCUGUGUGAUCAUUAUGGAUAGGACAACCUUCAAUCUCUUUGCUAGGCCUUUGAAGCAAUCUGACUGAGCGUGUUCAAUAAGUUGAUUGAUCCCAUUUGAGGAAGUAUCUCCAUUUAGGUAAUUUUGGGGAUUAGGACUAGAACCAUAUCACUAAAGUUUGGUGAAAUAACUCCAUUAAAAGAAUCAUUUAUUACUAUGCGUACAUCAUUUUUUAGAAAUAACUAGUGAAAUUGGUAAACAUAAGUGAGAGGUUGUCUUGCCCCUGUGCUCCAGUCAAAUUUAGAAUAGUGCAUUCUCAAUUUCUUCAUCCAUCACGUCUGUUUUCACCCUCUCCUCCAUAUCACUAGUCACACAGGGUCGGAUGUGAGCUAAGAUGUUGUCAGCAUCAGCAGAGGCUUCUGAAGAAAACAACUAAGCAUAGAAAUCGGCUGAAAUCUUCCCCAUCUCAUUGUCAGUAGUACAACUCGUGCCAUCCGCCCUCAUGUUUUGAUCGUCUUUCUUGAGAAAUUCCAGUAGGGAACAUUGCAUACACAUUAUUUGUUCCUGUGCACGAACCACAUGAAGCUAGGCUUCAAUCUCACUGGUCUUCAGCGAGGAUGUCUGGAUCCCAAUGAUCUACCCUUUCCAUCGAAGCUGGACCUUGUGCCUAGUUAUCUCACAACAUACCAGACAAAAUACAAAGCCACUUCAAUAUUUCAUAUCAUUGGUGACAUUGUUAUGCUUCCUGUAGAGCUCACUCUGGCCGGAAUUGUUAUCACAUGCACACUAUCAUGCCUCCAUCCAUGGGCAUCCACCUCUCCUCAAACGUUAAUGCCCUCUUCUUACUUUUGGUAAUGACUAGGUUUUCUAGCGCUCUAUUAACGAGCAAACCAUGGUCUCGUCCUCCAUGACAACAUGUUCAAUGGUUGUAUCCUACAAUGAAUGCACGACUUCAUCAUUGCAUGGACCCCUGUCCACAUGUACAUAAAGGAUCUCAUCCCGCUCCCUCUUAUUGUCCCAAGUGUACAGGUUGCUAGUAAAACAAAGUUUUGAAACACUAUUAUUGGCUACACUCUCCCUAAUGCGCUCCAUUUGUGUGAAACUCCUCAAGUAAUCUCCUAGUUGUUGUGAUUAAAAGAAUUCUUUGUUGAGCUAUCAUUGUAACAGAUAAAUGUAUUAUUAGGAUCCAGUCUCUCGGAGCCUCCCUUAGCUACACAAAUUUUCUUCAAUCUCUCUUCCUAUCAAUUAGCUUUAGGUUAUAAUCAUUGUGAUGCCUUUGGUAGUCACCAUCACCUUGCCUCAUCCUAUGAACAAAAGUGCCUCAUCUGCGUUGCUCUGAGGUAGAUGGUCAUCUUUCCCAAUGGCCUUGCACCCUUUCCCAUAUAGAUUUUUUUAUGUCUUGCUUCCUUUCAUGCUCCUUUCUCAUGUCCCACUUCCUUUUUAGAUUUAAAUCAUCCCUUAGUUCACAAUCAUGUCACAGAUCUUGCCUGCAUUGGUCCUCCCUGCACUUCAUCUUAGACAGUGACCCUCUACAAGACCAUCUCGAGGAUCCUCGUAGAGAGAGAGUCCACAGAGGGUGUAUAAUCAUUGUAUGACCUGCACGUAAAUGGACGGACAUGCAACGCUACAUGACCCAUCGCCCAUAGACGCCCUUGCUUGACCUAGUGCUCCCAAAACUAAAGUUCAUGCUUUCUUUCACCGGCCUCUACUUUGUUUUUGUCUGUGAGGAGCCAUGUCCAAGUUAUGCCCUCAACCAUUCACCCAACUAGGGUGAGGAAUCAUUUUGUGGUUCAAAUCAUCCGUCAACAUGUGCUAGUCUGUCGUAGUCAAUCCAAAAGAGAGGUAUCUUUACAAAUUGAAAAUCAAACAAGGUCCCCUCAUCUUUUGCUGAAGAGUGGAGAAAGAAGCCUCAGACUAGUGAAAGAAAUAUGAAAAUUCUAGCUCUAGGUCUGAGAUGGUUCCCCCAUAAAUCCAUCCUUCCUAACAUCACUCUUUACCACGCCACCAAGACAAUUCCCUAGAGCAUUCCCAAAAGUAUAUGAUCAUUUAUAUAGGGGAGGAUCUAUAAUUAUCACCCAUGGCUCCGUCAUACAAAACAUUAUCUUCGAUGACCUAGUUUCUUCAUCAUAAUCCUUCAAAAGUAUCGCAUUAAAACCAAAUUGCCACAUUCAAUUAUAUAGAGCGUGCUUUUAGACUCCUUUGUUAUGGAAUCUAAAGAACAAGAUAUUAUUUCUAAUGUGACUUAUUUGGGCUUCCUAGUAUAGUCCCAUGUAUGUUGCAUAGCCCUAGCAAACACGUUGAUGUUGAUUUGCUGGAGUGACCAUGCCUUUCCAACCACUGACCACCGAGUAGGCCUCGGUAGGUCUGGAAUCCUGAUCCUCAAACAUGAGAUCUAUUAGUUACUUUUGUUGUCAAGUUCAGGGCUCCUUGUUAAUUUGGUUGAGAGUUUAGCUGCCUCCCCUGAAGCAUUUCCAUCUGUCAGGGACUUUUGAAGGUUCUCAUCUUAACGAUCCUUGGUCACCAUGUUCACUUGAGCUGUCGAUUUACGCCACGCCUUCUCUCCCAUCAUCGCGCAAAGGAGUGGAAGCACCAAGACCAAUCAAUGUAGGAGUAUACAGUGUCAUCACCUCAUAGAUGAAUAAAAACCUAACCCUAGCACUACUUGUCGGUCGCCUAUAAUCGCCCUUAGUAUUUCUUUUCAUGUUGGGCCCGCCACUAGGUAUUUAUACCUGUGCUUCCAUUGGUACUUUUUUUGCGCUGGAGCCUUUCUGCUACAUUUGCCUUUCUACAAAGGCGGUCUUAUCCAAAUCAUAUAGUCUCCUCUAUCUAUAGGAAGCGAGGACAUUAGCUCUUCUUUUUUUCAAGGCAAAUACACUUGCUAGUGUUCAAGCGACAUCUAAAGAAGUCUUGUCACAUGUGAAGACGAGGCUAAGAGUGUGACACAUAUAGGUGCCAACUUGAAGAAUAAUGCAAAUUUCAGUAAAUAUGAAUAGCUCCAGGGGAACGAGCGCACAAAGGAAUCAGCCACCAUAUAUGGAUCAUUUCCAAAGAAACAAAGUCACAAAGAGAGAGACAAGACAUUAGCUUCUUUAUGGGGAACACAUACAUUUAAAUGUUGCCUUGCUCUCUGAUUAUUAACAAGAAAUAAUUUUUACUAAUAUAUUAUGUGUAAAUCUUGAUAGAUAUGGAAUGUAUUUUGGUCAGUAUGUUUUAAGGAAUCAUAUUAGUUUUUGGUAUGUUGAAAUUAGAAGAAGUUCAUGUGCCUUCAAGGCAUGUCAAGGUGUGUUGUUCCACCUCAAAAUUGGUACAUACUAAAUGGUUAUUCUCCCUACAUAUAGCCCCAAUUCUCAUGCUCUCUCUCUCUAUCUAUCUAUCUAUCUAUCUAUCUAUCUAUCUAUCUCUCUCUCUCUCUACAUUUUAUAUUCCAGACUACUCCAUAAAGCCUAAUUGGUGAAGGUCCAUAAACACCCAGCAAUGAUGGGUUCAACUCCCAUUAGUAGUAUAUACUUAGUGGAGGAGAAACAAGCCAAGCCCGCCAAUGGUGAAUAAAUCAGAAAAGAAAAUCAGGCCAUGCCCAAUCCAAAUCCGGCACCUGCCAACAAUGUGUAGUCUCCACUACUCGAACCUACUUUUCCUCAGUGUGUUACAUCAUGUGAUGUUUGGAGAAGCCAUAGAGUUGGGGAUCCAAAUAUAGAUAACAACAAUGGGGAGUGGCUUGAAGAAUAGGAGCCAAGAAGCCGGACGGACAAGGCCUCCACCAUGCUGUACCAUUGGCCGAUACUGACCCGUAUGGUGCAAGGACCGACGCAGAACUGAACACCGUCAUCAUCUAGGUUGCAAAGGAAGUUGGACCACUGUGUUUCUUCUCUCGGACAAACUCAAUGAUUUCAUGCAGUUGGCACCCACGCCACAUUCCACAGAGAUAACAACAUUGAGGAGGAGGAGGAGGGGCAACGCAAGGUUUCUUCCUCAUAGGAAUUACUUUCGAGGAAGUGAGGGGACGGUAUGGCAUGAUGAGUAGUUAACAAGGGAAGUUUGCAUGACUGCGGCGGACAAAUCAUGAAGACAAGUGUGCUAGUAGCUAGAUAAGGGAUGAAUGAUAGCAGGAAGGAAUAAUGAGCUUACUGGGUGAGGCUACUAUUUUUUAAGUUGCGACCUACUGAUCAUAACAACAAUUGAUCGUAACAACGUACCAUUGAUGAUAUAGGGUAUUGAUUUAGUAACUGUUACGAUGUGACUAGGGCUUGUAAGCGGUGGGUUGUAUAUUACUAACAAGUAGCAUGUUUAGCCUCGAUAUUGUCCUCUGUCACUCGUAACAACGUACCAUUGACGGACCCCGUCACUACUACCUUUUUCCAACAAAAAUAGAAUUUUAGUUAUAGUAAGAUUCACAACAAUCCCGCCGGCCAUCAGUGCUAAGUUGCCUGCUGACGGGUUUUUUGACCCACCACUUUUGAUCGAUAACUAGGCGAGAACUCUAGUCUGGUGCACAUUUGUUUUGUUCAGAAUUUUUAGUGUUUUUAUGUGUACAAAGACAUAUAUUUCAACCCUAACAGGUUCUCUUUAGGUGGGGUCGAGAGUGAAGGACUGGGGAGCUUGGAAGCAGGGGAAAUGGCACCUCGAGGGGUUCAGGUCUCUAUGAUCAAUAACCACAAUUUUGAUCUGAAUGAGCUGCCGACUGAGCAUGAGUAGCUCAGGAAGGAGUAGUCACCUCUGGAGCAAGAGUAGCCUCCUAUGGCACAACAUGAGGUUUAAUAUUCACAAUGGUUGGAGGCUACUCAAAUCCCUCUUGUGUGAGCAAAGUUAACUCUUGGACCAAAGUGUAGCCCUGUUAGAAAUUAUCGAAACAAUAUCAUUAUCCCAAGGACGAUUGUAAAGCUUAUGUGGAACUUUUGAAUUUCUCGCUUCCUAUUUUUUGUUGAUUUACUGACGCUAUUGCUGAACUUGAGGGAAGGACUUGGUAUACUGCUUCAUGAUCAACGUGUCAACUGGAAAUGGCUUUUCUAUUCAUUUCCCGUGAUGGUUUUGAUAUGUGGAUUGUUUGAACAAGCAGGUGUUCAUUCGGUAAAGCUUUGUGAAACAACAACGGUGGAGCUAGGUCUCUGGUCAUGUGAAAUGACAGUAGGUCAAGAAGUGUGUUGGAUCAUGAGAUAACAUAUUUUCUAAGUUGUUAAUCAUGUGUGUUAACACCAUGGGUAGUAUGAGAGAAGGUCAACAUGCAUGUUUGGGUCUGAAAUGACCUCAUGACCAAAAAAGGGAGAGAAACAUGGCUAAUAGGAAUACGAACGAUAUGGAAGUUAGUUGUUGCAUGGAUGUUAACUGUGGUUAUGAAGCCACACAAGAUGUCAGAGGACCCGCAUCCUUACAUAUCAAGGUUGACUUCACAUGCCAACUGGAUUUCGUCUAAAUUAUUGUAUAUGUAUGUAUGUUAUAUCUUGAAAUCUUACCAAACAAAAAACACCAAAAAAUACACUAUUUACUUCUCUUUGAUGCAUAUUCUAGUUGGAGGGUAAUCAAAACCUUAUGUGGAUAUUUGUCCACAAUAGAAUAUACAAUGGUCUAGUGAGGCAAGGUGUAAAUGGAUAGGACAAUAAUCGAACAUGAAAACAUCCAACAUUGUGUUAUAGUUGCAUCAAGUUGUCUAGUGAGUCAAUAUGGAAAUGGAGGAGGCUCAUAGGGCAACACGAGAACACCCAACAUGUAGCUCUACUUACUUCCUAUUGGUACGAAGAGACCAAGACUAGUGAACGGUUAACCAUAACACAUGGACAAGAUAUCUCAUACAAGAUGAAAAUGGAGUGUGUCUUGUAUGAAAAUGCUAACAAAGUAUGAGUGUGUAUGGCAUGCCAUCCCCUCCCUUUCUUGUUCGAGUUUACUUCACCAACCCCAUAGUACCCUGAUCAACACUAUUAUUUGGAUAUGCUUCUCAUCUGAGAAAGAAUAGUUAUUGAGAGACAUUUAUAUCAUUGUCUAGAUAGACUUGUUCAAGGGGCAAUAAUGGAGGUGUCUUAUCUAUUAUAGCCACAUUCCAGAGAAGAAUAAAAAAAGUAGACACAACCUGAUAAUUUAUUGAGAUUUGAAUUGAGGAUUCCACAUACAUCAACUAUCCUACAUGUGAAUCAAAUCCACAUCCUACAUGGGCAUUGGGCUUUAGUUGGACUACCACUUUAUGGACAAGCCAUGUGCUCCAUGUAGUCUUUAUUGCAAAGGCGGGAGAACAGGGAGCAAAUAGUUUUCGAUGGCUGGACAUUGAAGUUAUUUGUCAAGAAAUUUGUUUCCUGACAUGGUUUGUUUAUUUCAUUGUUUAGUAUUUGAUAUCGGUUCAAUGCUCUAGUAUGUAACCUUCUUCUCACAUUUUGGGUCUAGCUCUUGGUGUUCAUGAGUUCAUUACUUAUGUUAACUAUUAUUGUUGUGCCCACUUGUUCACAAGAGACUAUAAAGUUAACUAAGAUACUCCCGUAUUUAUAUUAAUAUAGUUGGCACUAAGGUAAUCAUCAACCUUGAAUAUUACUCAUAUUUGUCAAAUAGGAGGUCAAGCUGGAUCUGUCUGGCGCAUCAUCUAUGGUCACAUAUGGUGUAUUGUCUAUUCUAAACCCAAUGAGUAUUGCAGAAUGACAUGUGCCUGCGGGGAGGAAUGAGUCACUGUUUUGGGUCAAGGGGUGAUGCCAUGCCUCAUAAUUGACAAUAAAAAAUUAACCACCUACAUAAAAAGUCUAACCCAAGACAGGGAAUAUGCACCAUUGCAAUUUUACUGCACAAAGUCAUCGGUAUUUUGCAAUUGAAUGUUCCCCAUGUUGUGACUGAGAACACAAAACACAAAACACCCCACAAAACACUAUUCACUUCUCCUCGAUGCAUAUUCUAGUGGAAGGGUAGUCAUAACCAUAUGGGAAUAUUUUACCACAAUAGAAUCUAUAAUGGUCUAGUGAGGCAAGGUGUAAAUGGAGAGGAUAAUAGGCGAACAUGGAAACAACCAACAUUGUGUUGUACUUUCAUCUAGUUGUAUAGUGAGAUAAUAAGGAAACGGAGGAGGCUCAUAGGGCAACAUGAGAACGCCCAACAUGUUGCUCUACUUACUUCCUAUUGUUACCAAGGGACUGAGACUCGAGCAUGGUUAAUCAUAACACAUGGACAAGAUCUCUCAUACUAGUUGAUAAUAGAAUGAAUCUUGUAUGAUAAUGCUAACAAAGUAUGAGUGUGGAUAACAUGCCAUCUCCUCCCUUUCUUGUUGUAUUUUCCUUCACCAACCCCCAUAGUACCCUGAUCAACACUAUUAAUUCGAUAUGCUUCACAUCUGAGUUAGAAUUGUGAUUGGGAAUAGUUGUAUCAUUAUCUAAGUAGACUUAUUUAAGGGGAAAUAAUGGACAUGUCUUAUCUAUUAUAGCCACAUUCCGGAUAGGAAUAAAAAAAUUGACAUAACAAGAUAAUUUGUUGAGAUUUGAAUCGAAAAUUCAACAUACAUCAACUAUGCUACAUGUAAAUCAAAUCCUCAUCCUACAUCGGCAUUCGGCUUUAUUUGGACAACCACUUUAUGGACAAGCCGUGUGGUCCAUGUGGUCUACGUCACAAAGGCCAUAGGACAAGGAGAAAAUAGUUGUCGAUGAUUGGUGAUUGAAGUUAUUUGUCAAGAAAUUUUCCCCCCAACAUGGUUCAUUUAAUUCAUUAUUUAGUAUUUGAUAUCGGUUCUAUGCUCUAAUGUGUAACCUUCUUCUCACGAUUUGGGUCUAGCUGUCAGUGGUCAUGAGUUCAUUACUUAUGUUAACUACUAUUGUUGUGUCCACUUGUUCGCAAGAGACUAUAAAGUUAACUUAUAUCCUCCCGUAUUUAUAUUAAUAUAGUUGGUGGUUAGGUAAUCCUUGACCUUGAAUAUUACUCACAUUUUUCAAAUAGGAGGCCAAGCUGGAACUGUCUAGUGCAUCAUCUAUUGUCACAUAUGGUGUAUUGCCUAUUCUAAACCCAAUGAGUAUUACAUUAUGGCAUGUGCCUGCAAGGAGGAAUGAGUUACUCUUUUAUGUCAAGGGGAGACGGCAUGCCUAAUAAUUGUCAAUGAAAAAUUAAUAGUCUACAUCAAAAGUCUAACCCAAGAAAGUGAAUAUGUGCCAUUGUAAUUUUACAACACUAAGGGCCUGUUCUGAUCUUGUCCCGCUCCACGCUUCACAAAUUCCUGGAGCAGAUACGAGCCGAAUGAAAUAGCAGCGAGAAGCUAGCUCCAGGAAGCUAGGAUCGACCGCAAUGCAAAAUCAUGAAGCAGACUCGGCCCAGCUCCACCGAUCUGGAAAGCUGAAGUUAGCCCAUAUUACAAGUGAACUGCCACAGCCAAAUCAUACAAGCCGAACCGGUAUGCUCGAUCUGUUUGAUUGCUCCUCGUUCCCUCGCUCGUGCUCCCUCACUGCUCCUCUACAAGGCCGAUUUGGGUUGCCUCCAAUCAACCCAACUAGCUCGAUUAGGCCACAACCCUUCUAGCUGGGUUGCAGUGCCGCGAGAAGCUACAAACCGAGCGUAACAGAUUUUUCAUCGCUGCUUGGAGUGAGAAGCUACUCUGAAAAGUUGAAUUUCUUAAGUUUUGGGAAGCUAGAGGAGAUCAUAACAGGCCCUAAGUCAUCGGUAUUUCAUAAUUGAAUGUUCUCCAUGUCGUGACGUUUGAUGGUGUAAACCCAAAUAAUCGCCAUUGUGAAAUUAAAUUCCUCCCGUGAGUCGAACCCACAUCCAUAAAGAUGUGCCACUAAAAUCCACCUCUAGGCUAUCUUGGAGUCCUUAAUAUAAUCAAGUGCGCCCAAUAUGGUGACUUAAUAUGUACUUAUUGACCCUACGAAGCUAAUCACCUCCAUCAAGACCCCUUCCUGGUUCUCCUAUAACUAGAUUUCCCGAAACCACGAGAAUCCUUAGAAUGGGAUUACAACUUAGCACCUUUCGUUUUCACAUAGUAAGAAGAGUUGCUCCUUGGAUAGCAUGGUACGAUCAAAGGUGUAACCUGUGUUUCGGAGGGAGUUAUUGUCUCGAAACUUUGUUCUCAGCUAUUCCGAUUCCAGCAAACGGAGGCCAUUGGGUCAAAGCUGUACUGCACGCCCUGUAGUUUUCAAGUGGGGUGAGACAACUUUAGCUAGGAACCAAUUUUCAUUCUGACUAGCUCCCUGAAAACAAUGUUCGACUUCAUGUGUAGUCGGUGUAGAUGUGUCAUUGCAAUUCCACCACUAGGAUAUCAACAAGUCCUAUGUAUUACAUGACAACAUAUGCCACCAUAUGGUGACUUGAUAAAUUAAAUGGAUUUCACCAAGCUUUCGUGUUACAAUUAUAGUGAAGAUAGUGACUCACAUGUCAGCCUCCCUGACGGGAAGCAAAAUCACUCUGACUUUGGCAACCUAAUUUUUGGUGGAUUCAAGCAAACAUGUUGGAUUUGUAUUUUAUUUAUUUCAACAUAUAUAAUUCAUAUAAAUAAAUCAAUUCAUAAUAGGUGUCUUGGAGACACCCAUGUCAAUAAUGUGAAAUUAUGGGAAAUCUUAUUAUGUGCAUCAACAUAAGCCAAAACUCGUGGCUUAAGAGAUAUGUGUACAAUCUUCGAAUGGUUAUUCCCCCUACUAAAUUCAUGAUGUUAGCUAGUUCCCAGAAGUUGAGAAAGAAGUUUAGUCAUGGGAUCAAUGUCCAGGUGCAUCAUAUUUCCAGUCCCAAAAAAAUUUGUUAUGGAAGUUGAGAAAGAAGUUUGGGCAACAUAUUUCUAGACACCUGUCAUGUCUAGGAUCUUCUCAAGCCUAGGUAAGCUUAGUCAUGGGAUCAAUGCAGGCUAUUAGUACAUUGACCUGGUUCUUAAUUCAAGUCCUCCUUGCUUGAUACAAUAUUGAAUGGAAAGUACAUAAUCAAUUUACUUAAGUGGGUGAACAAUGUUGGCUAGUAUAUUUCAACACUCACCUCACAUGCAUCUUUUAGAGGCAUAUAAUGCAUCGUGAUGGAAACAUUUUUUCUAUAGACUAAAUUUCAAUGGAAAAUUUUAAUUAAUUUAAUUAGUAGCAAUCUCGUAUCGCAAGGAUAUAUGGCAAAUGAAAAUGAGGGCUCAAAUGCUACUUGUUGGCACACAAAAGUCAAGUUGUCUUUUUCCUCCCAUGUUGAUCCUCCGUGGUUCGACAUUGGGCAUUACAAAGAGAUCAAGUUAUGUUUACACACCGCUAGAGCUACCAGACCCUGGAUGUUCCACCAUGAAUGUCCAUAUGGUGCAAUGAGUGAUAGCGAGGUAUAUUAGAACAUAUAGUUUACACCGUUAAAGUAAUUAAAUCGGCUAUUUUUCCUACUAUGAAAAAUAGUAUUUUAAGAGAAAACUAUAUAAGAGUUUGUGAUCUUUGUAUGUAAAAGCAUUAUUUUCCUUUGCUUGGUGUUCACGCAGUUUGUUUUAUGGCAAAAAUGGAAAAUCAUGGGACAAUAAUUGUUGAUAUUUUUUGCCGGAAAGCGAGAUCUUUUCACUUUUCAGAUCACACAAAGUAUUGUUUUUCUUAUAGGGGUGAUAUACAGUGUUCUAAAUCUGCACUUGUGAUUCGUUGUCCAUUUAAAUCUGGUUUCUUCCACAGAUUAUGUUGGUUUGUUGUUGUAUUUAUCUCAGCACUAAAGUAUACUGAUGUUAGCUAAGUCCAAUCAAAGGCCCGUGUUUUUAUCAUGUUAUACAAAUUAGUAAGCUAAGAUCUUACCAAACUCAAGUUACAUAAGCCCAGACUACGUGAAAUACACAUCAUGCAGUACACAUGUUCAUCUUAGUGUUAUGUUAUACUUGGCUCCGAGAUAACAAAUGGUAUCAAUUAUUACUAUCUUUUGCAGCUUGUUUCUGCCUGUUCAUCGUAGAAUUAUCUUAUGUGGUCUCCCAAGGUUCAUACAACUUGGAUUUUUCAUACUUUGGUAGUAUUAGUGUUCACUAGGACUAGGUGCCACUCUGCAGAAGCUGAGGAUACAGAUGGAGAAAGUAGUCAUGGUUUUUUUUUUCAAAAAGUUUGUUCAUAUCUAUAAGAGGUUUAUGAAUUUUCAGUGUAUAGUGUUGUGAAACCUAGAGUGUUUUAUCUCAUUUAACAUUGAACUACGCUUUCAAGGAAAAACCUUCAUUUGACAUCGAACUAUGCAUGCAGGGCAAACACCCCGUGCUUCGGUGCCACCGCGCCGCGAACCCUGGGAGCUUGAACCUGGAUGGGUGUGAACUUCAGAUUGAUGUCAAGGUUAGGGGUCAGUCAUGGAUAGAGAAUAAAGGGGACUUUGCAAAACUGUUAUUAAUAAUAUGGAUGAAACAUUGCCUUGUGGAGAGAAUAAGAUAUUUCCAGAGAUAUUUAUAAAUGGAUGCAUACUUGAAAUAGCAGUACAAAAUAUGAUGCUAACAUUUUAUUUUCAUUGUUGUUCCCAUAAAACUUCUGGUGGUGGCUCCAUUAUUCACAGCCUCGCACAUGAAAAUGUU